ACGCUCGACACCUACGGGAGCAGCAGUAGGGAAUCUUCCACAAUGGGCGCAAGCCUGAUGGAGCAACACCGCGUGAGUGAAGAAGGGUUUCGGCUCGUAAAGCUCUGUUGUUGGAGAAGAACGUGCGUGAGAGUAACUGUUCACGCAGUGACGGUAUCCAACCAGAAAGUCACGGCUAACUACGUGCCAGCAGCCGCGGUAAUCUGAGCGGGCUGGCAAGGC
This 222-nucleotide ribosomal RNA is filed under the name uncultured bacterium. RNAcentral describes it as "partial 16S ribosomal RNA". It matches the Rfam family "Bacterial small subunit ribosomal RNA", at positions 328 to 539 of the family's 1533-position model. The record is from RNAcentral.